UUAAAAUUUAAUAUAGAAUAUAGAUAGUAUGAAGAACGAAUAAUUGUAAUAAUAUUUUGCAUAUUAUUGUAUUGUAAUAUCGUUAUUAAAAACAUAUUUGAAAUAUAUUGUAUUUCUUUAGUAAUUAAAUUAAAAUGUGUCAUUUCCGGUCGCGACGUUGCAAUGGAACUGGAACGGCAAUGUCCGCGACAAUGCAUUGUUCCGUUCCGGCGAACCAUGUAUGUAAGUCUCAGAAUAACUCCCCAUUUUUCCACUCAUAAAAUUUGUUUUCCUAUUCUCUUUAUAUUUCUUCGCCGUUGUCAACGUUGGCUGCAAUUUUAAUACUACAUAAUCGCAAUGAAGAAAUGGUUAGUGAUCUUUCAGUUUUAGAAUUCAUUUUGCGUGCUCUGAAUUCCUAAAUCGAUCAAUGUUUAGAUUUUUGUUUUUGGGUUUUAUGAAAGUUACCCUUUAAUAAUAGGUUUGGAAUAUAUUUUUUUCUUUAUUUUGUUGAAAUUUCAUUUUAACAACGAUGUUUAUCAACAGUCAGUCUCACAUGCUAUAAUUAAAAAAGUAGAUGUAUAAUUCUUCAAAUUUCCGUGGAGUGUUGUAUGAAAACUGUUAAUUAUUAGUUUUGUUUAGUACACUUCUUAGACAACUUUUUAGCAAUUUUAUUUUUUUAAAUGUUCAUGAUAUUUAGGGAAUCAACUGUGACAUGUGGGGAAUCAAUUGAUGAGUAGUUAUUUGUUCUUUCUAUAAGAAAAGGAAUCGAAAUGUUUGAAGUUGUUGCUAUUUUAUUUGGUGUCACUGUAACAUAUGUUUUUCGUACACCAUGGUCAUAUACUCAUUAUUUUCAGCAAAAAAAAAAAAGAAGUUUUACUAUUUUCUCUAAUAUCUGAUGAUAUAUACAAUAAUCAGAAAAUAAGAAAUCUCACAACAAGUAUAUUAAUAUUGUUUUUCUCUGUUUUUUCACAGGUUUACCUGGUGAUGAGAAUGUCUUUUUGCUUCUUUUAACAGUUUUGUUUAGAGUUGUAUUAGUUUUGUAUUUGGAGGUGUUUUAUGAAGAUUGCUGCUAUCUUGAGAAUUUGGGAUGGCAAAAAAGAAAUCAAAAGCAAGAAGAUUCAUCUCUAGACUGCUCCAUUACAGAAACGAUAAUUGGUGCAUUUAGUUGGGUGCUCACAUGAAUUAGUUGCUGAUGAAUCGAACAUGAGGACGAGACAACAUGGUAUUAAUAUUAUACUAUAAUGAUUAAUAACAAAUGUUUUCUGAUUGGCAAUGUAGUUUUCUUUUCUCCACCCCUCUAAGAUUACUACAUUUCCACAUUUUUCUUUGUUAUGUAUAUCUAUUUGCUCUAUCUGUUGAUAUUAGCAAUUCAUUUUGUAUAUUGAUGUUUUUGCUAUAGUCAUGUAUUAAAUUG
RNAcentral lists this long non-coding RNA (1393 nucleotides) under Erythranthe guttata (spotted monkey flower). RNAcentral describes it as "long non-coding RNA (EGUT_LNC001135)". Lineage: Eukaryota; Viridiplantae; Streptophyta; Magnoliopsida; Lamiales; Phrymaceae. The record is from RNAcentral.